UGACUUAGUGGCGGACGGGUGAGUAACACGUGAGCAACCUGCCUUUCAGAGGGGGAUAACGGCUGGAAACGGUCGCUAAUACCGCAUGAUGUGUUCGGAUGGCAUCAUCUGAACAUCAAAGAUUUAUCGCUGAAAGAUGGGCUCGCGUCUGAUUAGAUAGUUGGUGGGGUAACGGCCUACCAAGUCUACGAUCAGUAGCCGGACUGAGAGGUUGAACGGCCACAUUGGGACUGAGAUACGGCCCAGACUCCUACGGGAGGCAGCAGUGGGGAAUAUUGCACAAUGGGGGAAACCCUGAUGCAGCAACGCCGCGUGAAGGAUGACGGUUUUCGGAUUGUAAACUUCUUUUCUUAGUGACGAAGACAGUGACGGUAGCUAAGGAAUAAGCAUCGGCUAACUACGUGCCAGCAGCCGCGGUAAUACGUAGGAUGCAAGCGUUAUCCGGAUUUACUGGGUGUAAAGGGAGCGCAGGCGGGACUGCAAGUUGGAUGUGAAAUACCGUGGCUUAACCACGGAACUGCAUCCAAAACUGUAGUUCUUGAGUGAAGUAGAGGCAAGCGGAAUUCCGAGUGUAGCGGUGAAAUGCGUAGAUAUUCGGAGGAACACCAGUGGCGAAGGCGGC
This 622-nucleotide ribosomal RNA is filed under the name uncultured Lachnospiraceae bacterium. RNAcentral's name for it is "bacterial SSU rRNA". It matches the Rfam family "Bacterial small subunit ribosomal RNA", at positions 88 to 725 of the family's 1533-position model. Lineage: Bacteria; Bacillati; Bacillota; Clostridia; Lachnospirales; Lachnospiraceae. The record is from RNAcentral.